This 1575-nucleotide long non-coding RNA is filed under the name Heterocephalus glaber (naked mole-rat). RNAcentral's name for it is "lncRNA (ENSHGLG00000035013.1)". The record is from RNAcentral. Lineage: Eukaryota; Metazoa; Chordata; Mammalia; Rodentia; Bathyergidae.
UUUAAAACACUCAAACGAUGACAUUGAGGUCUGGAGAACUUGCGUAGAAGCAAUCCCACGGUUCCUAGGUCUGAUUGUGUCUUUGGAAAACAGGAAACUGUGCUUCCUGUGACUUUUCUAACUUAGGAAUGAUUCUUCCUGAGAUGGGAUUUUUAAAGAAAAGCUCCUUGGAAAUACGUGAAUCUUUUAAAUGUUUUUGCUGACUGGUAAGACUCAGUUUCUUUUCAGCAUAUGAUUUCAUAUAUCUUCCACUAAGAUUCUUUCCUUGACCAUAGCUGAGCAAAAUGAUCCUUGUAGAGAAUGGACUACCUGCCCACUUACUACUUGGUGGUCUGGUACAGUUAGAAAUGGCAGGAGAACUUGCCUGGAGUGGUGGCAAAAUCUUUUCUUGUUCUGGGCCCUACGCAACACCAACGGCCUCAUUAUGAAUUUCUUGAUCAAUGAGUAGGGGGAACACAUUCACAGAUAGUAACUGUUUAUUUUAUUUUAUUAUUAUUAUUAUUAUUUUUUUUUUGGUACCAGGGAUCAAACUCAGGUCCUUGCGCUUGCAAGGCAGGUGGUGGAACCACUGAGCUAAAUCCCUGGCCCUGUUUCUUUUAAAAUCCAAAGAGGCCCACCAAGCAUUAUGCCUCCUUUUUGUGGAACCCAAUGUCUUUUACUUUAGAAAAUAUAUCAUGACAAGAAGCAGACUGCUAAAUCUCUAGGACCUUUACUGAUGUGGCAAGCCUUUGAACUUUCAAUGACAUUUACAGUGAAUGACUAGAGUGAUGUUCUAUGGAGUAUCAAGAUAAGGUCUUUACAGGCUACCUUAAGACAGCAAGCAGUAACACUGACAUAGGCUGAGGUAAGCGAGUGAAGGUAUACUGUUGUCAAAUUGCUACUGAUCAUUGUUGAUGACAAGGAUAGAGAGAAAAAAAAAUUGAUAGACUAAUAUCUGCAUUGUUUUGUUCCACAAGGUGACCACAUACAGAAUUGGAGAUGAAUGGCAUGACUGAUUAUGGGUGUGAUAAUUGACAGCCAUGCUGCAAGACCACCUGGAUUUUGCAAGAGGCCAGCUAUGGCAUUCUGAGACCUAAUUCCAUUUUGGUCUCUGGUCACAACUGAGACGUCAAUGAUCCCGUGAUGCUGUGAUGCUCCAGGGCAAGACCACACCUGCGGAGACCCCAGGGAGGAACCAAAUCUUCAUCUGCAUAGUUCCUCAUUGUUCUUGGAUUUCCGCUGCCCCCCAGUCAUUUGUUACACCUUGUUUAUCCCAAUGUGAGGUACCGAACUCUCCGCAUUUCGUUUGUUACAUUUGUUUCUCCCGAGGUACUGAAUAAAAUGUGCUGCAAGCUAGGGCUCUUUGUCUUUGCUGCCCAGAGCAGCAGUGAUCAGGCCCGAAGCUCAGCUUCUCCAAGUCUCAUUUUUUCUACCUUUCCUGUAUAAUAAGUUAAUUUGCGUUGUGCUGCCUUGGCUCACAGGAGACUAGGACUUACUGCACAGGGUGACUGUAAGACCGAGGGCCUUACCAAACGCUCCGAGGAGCUGACUGCAGCGAAGAACACCCAGGAAGGAACACACCGGACAAGUUGGAAA